GCAGGGAAAGGGAGCAUUGUCGAGCGCCUGGCUGGAUGUCCCUGCUCUGCAACCCCAGCACCUUGUAGCAGGCGGCUCAAGGCUAAUGCUGGAGGAAGAGGGUGGAGGGAAGGAGCCAGGCAGCCAAGUUUCAGUGUGACCUCAGAAAGUGUGAACAGGGAUAGAGACUGCAACUCCACAGUGCCCCACCACUUCUGGGAACUGCAGCUUCUAGGAUGGACACAGGUAAGGACACAAGAAGGAGGUGGCCAUCUACAACCUAUCAGAUGGCUCUCGACAGAACCCAACCCUCCUGGAACCCUGAUUUCAGACUGCCAGCAUCCAGAAUUGUGGUGAAAUUUCUAUAGUUUAUAAGCCACUCAGUCUAUGGGCUGCCCCCAAUGCCAAAAGGAGCCUUCUGGGCCACCUUACCGCCACCCCCAGCAAUGAAGAGGUGAGCCAAGAGAGCACCAGAAGCACACACCCGUGGGUGUCUCCCCGCACCGCAUUGAAAUGAGAAGACACAUAAGUCUCAAAACCAGACUUCCAGAUCACCUAAAGCAACCCCAAAGGGAAAUGAGAUGGAACAAUCUGAUACUCAACCUCCUGGACUCCCUGAACUGGCAACAGAAGAGGAUCUCGAAAAAAUGAAAUCAGAAAUAAUUUGUCAAUAGAUUGUGCCCAUAGUGCAAGACAUGAUCAAUAAAUCUGUAGAGGAAACAGAUAAAAAAAUAGAGGAGCUGAGGAACAUGAUGGAAUACCAACAUAGGAAACAAAUGGAAUCCAUAAAACAGAUGCAAACACAUUUCCAGGACAUUAAAAACUCCACAGCAAUUACACAAGAGAAAGAAAGAAAAGGACUAAAGAUAGGAAAAGAAGAAGUCAAACUGUCAUUAUUGCAGAUGACAUGAUGCUCUACAUAGAAGACCCCAAGAACUCCACCAAAAUUCUUCUAGACUUAAUAACCAAAUUCAGUAGAGUAGCUGGAUACAAGGUCAACACAAAAAUCAAUAUCUUUCCUCUACAUGAACAACAGACUCAGUGAGAGAGAAAUAGGGCAAAUAAUUCCUUUCACAACAGCUUCCAAAAAACUGAAAUACCUAGGAAUCAGUCUAACAAAAGAAAUCAAAGACCUCUUCUCUGAAAACUAUAGCACUCUGAAAAGAGAGGUUGAUGAUGAUAUCAGAAAAUGG
This 1172-nucleotide long non-coding RNA is filed under the name Heterocephalus glaber (naked mole-rat). RNAcentral describes it as "lncRNA (ENSHGLG00100034815.1)". Lineage: Eukaryota; Metazoa; Chordata; Mammalia; Rodentia; Bathyergidae. The record is from RNAcentral.